AUCUGGGCGGCGGAAUUCAGGAUGGCUGGCGCGUCUUCGCGGCGCGUCGGCCGUUUGAUAUUUCCGUCGCCGAUACGCAGACGUCACGACCUGUUCGCGGUCGGUCCCUGCUCGGAGGAGCCGCGUUCGAGUUCGUUGCGUGGCGCGUUUCGGCGUGUCACGCGGCGAAGGCGCGGAUCUCUGGCUGGCCGUCGGACAGUACGCUUAACGGUGUCCGGUGUCGCCUCCGCGCGUGCACCGGUACCGGUCAGCGACGAAUUCUUCGGGCCUCUUUCCGACCCGUCUUGAAACACGGACCAAGGAGUCUAACAUGCGCGCGAGUCGCGGGGUGUCGAGCGUACUUCGGUGCGUUCGUUACGUUGCGAAACCCGUACAUGUCGAAGGCGUAAUGAAAGUGAAUGGGGAAGAUGGUGUUCCGAGUACACGUUCCGCGAUCGUCGGUAUCGCGGCCGGACACCCGCAUUCCCGGGGCGUCUCAACGGCCCGUCGCUGACGCGGACAGUCGUCUCUCGGGGCGGCUGUCGGUCGGCGAUGAACCGA
Molecule: ribosomal RNA, 540 nt
Filed under: Melanaspis bromiliae
Lineage: Eukaryota; Metazoa; Arthropoda; Insecta; Hemiptera; Diaspididae
Description: eukaryotic LSU rRNA
Source: RNAcentral